Triticum aestivum (bread wheat) is the source of this 125-nucleotide non-coding RNA. The record is from Rfam. Lineage: Eukaryota; Viridiplantae; Streptophyta; Magnoliopsida; Poales; Poaceae.
AUUUUACUCCCUCCGUCUGAAAAUACUUGUCGAAGAAAUGAAUAAAAAUGGAUGUAUCUAAAACUAAAAUAUAUCUAGAUACAUCCAUUCCUCCGACAAGUAUUUCCGGGCGGAGGGAGUACACC